RNAcentral lists this ribosomal RNA (495 nucleotides) under uncultured bacterium. RNAcentral describes it as "partial 16S ribosomal RNA". It matches the Rfam family "Bacterial small subunit ribosomal RNA", at positions 28 to 507 of the family's 1533-position model. The record is from RNAcentral.
GACGAACGCUGGCGGCGUGCCUAAUACAUGCAAGUAGAACGCUGAAGGAGGAGCUUGCUUCUCUGGAUGAGUUGCGAACGGGUGAGUAACGCGUAGGUAACCUGCCUGGUAGCGGGGGAUAACUAUUGGAAACGAUAGCUAAUACCGCAUAAGAGUAGAUGUUGCAUGACAUUUGCUUAAAAGGUGCAAUUGCAUCACUACCAGAUGGACCUGCGUUGUAUUAGCUAGUUGGUGAGGUAACGGCUCACCAAGGCGACGAUACAUAGCCGACCUGAGAGGGUGAUCGGCCACACUGGGACUGAGACACGGCCCAGACUCCUACGGGAGGCAGCAGUAGGGAAUCUUCGGCAAUGGACGGAAGUCUGACCGAGCAACGCCGCGUGAGUGAAGAAGGUUUUCGGAUCGUAAAGCUCUGUUGUAAGAGAAGAACGAGUGUGAGAGUGGAAAGUUCACACUGUGACGGUAUCUUACCGGAAAGGGACGGCUAACUACGUG